This 253-nucleotide ribosomal RNA is filed under the name uncultured bacterium. Its description in RNAcentral is "partial 16S ribosomal RNA". It matches the Rfam family "Bacterial small subunit ribosomal RNA", at positions 524 to 776 of the family's 1533-position model. The record is from RNAcentral.
UACGGAGGAUCCAAGCGUUAUCCGGAAUCAUUGGGUUUAAAGGGUCCGUAGGCGGUUUUAUAAGUCAGUGGUGAAAUCCGGCAGCUCAACUGUCGAACUGCCAUUGAUACUGUAGGACUUGAAUUAUUGUGAAGUAACUAGAAUAUGUAGUGUAGCGGUGAAAUGCGUAGAUAUUACAUGGAAUACCCAUUGCGAAGGCAGGUUACUAACAAUACAUUGACGCUGAUGGACGAAAGCGUGGGGAGCGAACAGG